Molecule: ribosomal RNA, 465 nt
Filed under: uncultured bacterium
Lineage: Bacteria
Description: partial 16S ribosomal RNA
Rfam family: Bacterial small subunit ribosomal RNA
Source: RNAcentral
GACGAACGCUGGCGGCGUGCCUAACACAUGCAAGUCGUACGGUAAGGCCCUUCCUGGGGCACACGAGUGGCGAACGGGUGUGUAUCACGCGUGUAACCCUCCCACAACGUUGGGAUAACGCUAGGAAACUGGUCCCAAUUCCGGCUUUCUUCCCCUGCUGCAUGGUGGGGGUUGGUAAGCCCCCGCGCUUAUGGAUGGACCGGCGGCGUAUCAGCUUGUUGGUGGGGUAGUGGCCUACCAAGGCGACGACCGGUAGCCGGACUGAGAGGGUGAUCGGCCACAUUGGGUCUGAGAGGCGGCCCAGGCGCCGAAUGGAGGCAGCAGUGCGAAAGAUUGAUCAAUGGGCGCAAGCCGGGUGCAGCAGGGCCGCGUGCGGGAUGACAGCCUUCGGGUUGAGAACCGCUAGCAACAGAAACGCAGCUUUUUGUGACGGUACCUGCAGAAGAAGCACCGGCUAACUACGUG